UGGUGGCAAGCCUUUUGUUGUCUGACCUGGGU
This 32-nucleotide non-coding RNA is filed under the name Homo sapiens (human). The record is from RNAcentral. Lineage: Eukaryota; Metazoa; Chordata; Mammalia; Primates; Hominidae.